Sarcophilus harrisii (Tasmanian devil) is the source of this 2720-nucleotide long non-coding RNA. NCBI's taxonomy places the organism in Eukaryota, Metazoa, Chordata, Mammalia, Dasyuromorphia, Dasyuridae. The record is from Ensembl.
AUUGAUUCAAAAUGAGGUACUUCAGUAUUAAAUUAGAGAUCUUCAUAGCAAUGUGUCUCCUAAAGGUGUUUUGUAAAGGAUCCCAAUGCCUUGAAUAGACCUAAUUUGUAGGCUUAAGACUUUUUAUUUUCUAAACCUUGUGAUUCUGCUCAUAAAUCAUUUAUCUAAUCUAUAUGAUAUGCAGCCACUGUAGGAACCAAUUCUUGAUUUUUAUAUGUUUAUAAUUCUUUCUUAAUAAAUCUUAGAGAAACUAUGUUACUAAAGCCAACCACUUUUAAGGUGGUUUUUCUUGCCCACUGUGGUGCAUGAGUAACCUUUUACUAACUGGCUUCAGUUUCUGAGAACUGAAUACCAAGAAACUGGAGGCUUUUGGGGAGCUAUUUCCCAGUCCCUGACACAAAUACUUUCUUAUUUCACCUUCAGAGUGAUGUCUUUUUUUGAUGUCUAAAAUGCAGUGCAUUUUAUAACCAAUUAGCCAGGCCUUUUAGGAACAAAGGAGUUUUUCCUUGCAAUUUGAUUAUCUGGCCAGGUGAAAAUUACCCCUAUUAUAUUUAUAUCUCUCUAUAUAUUAUAAUGUGAAAAUAGGGAAAGUAUAUGGUGAGAUAUAAGCCCAAAGAGAUGAUACAGUCCCAAAGUGUUGGUCCACACUAAGGAAAUUUUCUGGAAUUCUGCAUUUCAAUACAUUUGUUUCUGAGUGAGAGAGAUGUUAAUAAUACAGGGAGGUAGCUAGGGAUAAGUACCUUGGAGAGGUCACCACUUCAUAUGUCCCCCUAGAAAGGCUGAGCUUAGUCAAAGCCAUUGGAUUGUCUAGCUGAGGUAGGAAAGUAAGCAGCUGUUGACCCUGAACUCCAUGACCUCAUUGAUAUAAUGAGAUUUGUAGUACAUCUUUGUUAAUGUAACCAGUUUAAAACUUUAUUUAUAGAAUGAGAAGAAUUUUGGUUUCACACAACCCAAGAGAAAAUGGGGUUUUAAAUUUUUUUUCUUUGGUGGGUGGGGCAUACAGUUCCUUUUUCAGUUGUUGCCGUCCAUGAGAGGCUCUCUUUUUGCUAAUUAACAAAUCACCAACCUCAUUAUAUUGGUUCCAAUCCUGAUGAACCUGCGGACUUGUUUUGUUUGUAAAUUAGGCUGUUUCAUAACCAUUACUCUUUUCAAGGUUAAUGAUAUUAUAUAUAAUCUUCUGGCUCAGAUCAAGUAAUGGAGCUUUGCUUUCCGUGGAAUUAAGGAGGAAAAAAUUGAGUGAAAGAAUCAUCUGAUCAUAUUGAUCAUACUCAAACAGGAAAAUUAAAGCCAAAUCAAAUCCCCUCAUUAUCAGUAUUUCCCAUCCUAUACACAGUAAAUUUGUUUGACAGAGUACUUGGUUUUUGUUUAAUAGAACAAAUAAUCAAUGUUCUAUUAUAUUACUAAAUGUGAAGGACACAUAAUGUGAAAAGUAUACAUACAUAAACUUGGUUGUUUGACCCAUUUAAGUGUUCAUGUAACGUGGUGAGUUUAAAAAGUGAAGUGAGCUGUUUUACUACAAUGAAUUAAUUUGUUUGCACUCAAAGUUGAAAAUAUUGACCCCACCCCCUCUUCUGCUAUGUUUUUUGGCCUGUAUUAAAUGAAAGCAAUGUUUUUGCCGUUUAUAUAAUACAAUUUUUAAUCUGUGUUUAAAAAUGGAGUUCGUCUGGGCUUAACACAUGAAAUGGGUGGCACAAUUAGUUCCACUUGCAGAACCCAAAGAUACACAAUCAGUUUUGAAAUGCAACUUAAGCCAUUAAUUAAUUGUUGGUGUGAAUUUAAAGUUUUCUAGUAUUUGUAUGGUAGUGUGCUGCCUAAGAGCAAAAGCAUUCUGUGCACAGAAUAAAAUUACUGUAGUGGCUUUGAUUUGAAUUAGAAUUUUCUCCCUGGUGUUUCUUUAUAGACUAAAACAAAACCUUUUAAGUUUCAUACUACAGGUAAAAGCUAUGUGCAAGAACCUCAAAAUGCUAAAAUCUAGCAUAAUGCCUUAGAUCUGUUUUUAAGUCUUGUAUAUUCCUACAUAGCUGUCUGAUGUAUUAUAUUUGUAUAGUGAAUUGUGUACAAUUUUGGAAUAAGUGCAUCAUCACUUAUCUUUAUGUUGUGAAACAGUGAUGAUGACACAUUUCUUCAAACAUUUAACUGUCUUUUUUUUUUUCUUUGUCAUUUGUGGGUUUUAUUUGUACAGUUCCUCAUGAAGUUGCAUCUGAAAUGUGUGUAUAUGAAAAGAUUAUACAAGGGUAAAAUUAAGCAAUAUAUUAACUAUGGUUCUUCAGGAGAAAGCUUACAAUGUUUGGGUUGUGAUUUACUUUCAAAACGGAGUUGACUCUGAACAUCACCUUGUUCACCUGCAUCGAUGUUUGUAUUUCUAGUGUGAGCAGUUUAUGCAAAGGUAGAUAUAUUCAGAGAAAUUUUAAAUACAUUUAUGCAAGUUAAUAUUGCUUUGCUGAUGCUAUUUGCUUAUUUGAUGUUAAAUAAUGCUAUUGUAAAUAAAGACUGUUGUUAUUGCAUCAUUUAAUAAAUUUUAAUGCCUUCGGGUUUUACAUGGCUUUAGAGAUUGCAGUGUGUUUAUAUUCAUUUAUUUCAAUAUACUUGAAGUUAAAUAGAUAAACAAAAAUGCUUUGCAUUUUUCUGUAUGUUGUAAUAGAAGGAGUUAUGGAUUUGGAAUCAGAAGAAAACUAGUUUCCAAUCCUGGGUCUUCUGCCUACUGGCUUUGUGAUUAUGAG